This 1419-nucleotide ribosomal RNA is filed under the name Triticum aestivum (bread wheat). Its description in RNAcentral is "partial small subunit ribosomal RNA". The record is from RNAcentral. Lineage: Eukaryota; Viridiplantae; Streptophyta; Magnoliopsida; Poales; Poaceae.
AUGAAAGCCGCCGCCAAGCCCAAUCCUCCUCCGCUGCCAUCGGCGGCGACUUCGACGCAGCCGUCGACCAAGGCGGCAUCGUCCUCCUCCUCCUCCGCCGCCGAUCCCAACCCCAAGCGCAUCCUCCCCACCGCGGCCGACGCCGCGCACUCAACCCCCUCGCACCCUAAUCCAAAUCCCAACGGCGCGCCCAACCCACCCCCGCUCCUCCCGUCCCCGCACGUCGCCCACCUACAGCCCCUGCCCCCGCCGCGCCCGCUGCUCACCGUCGCGGCGGUGGAGGCCGCCAUGGCAUCCAUUCCACCCCCGCCGCAGUAUGGUCUCGAGUGCCUCGACCGCCGCACCGUCGCGCUCUCCGACGGCACGGUUCGCACCUACUUUGCGUUGCCCCUAGAGCCUCCACCGCAACUCCGCCAGCCGCCGAUAUUCCCUGCGCCCCACUUAGGCCCGCCCGGCCCGGGGCCUGGCCUUAACAGGUGGAUUCCGCCACUGAUGCACGCCGUACCUCCUCCCUGGCCGCCCCAGAAGCGCAAGCGGGAGGGUCAGAGCAAUGGUGGCCCCCCCGUUGAGUCCUCGGGCCGCCAACACCAACAACAUCAGAAACCAGAGGAGAGGCGUACUGCAAAGCAGGUCAAGGUCGAGACGUCAGAGCUGGAUGCGAAAACACUCGAGAGCUCCUUUCUUAAGAUGGUGAGGGUGAUCAACGAAAACACGGAGGUGAAGAAGAAUUACCGGGCCAAUGGACAGAUUUCCCAGCUGAGAUGCGUUGUCUGUAAUAGGGACUCGAUGGACUUGCAUGCACUCCUCAAUCAUUCAUACAAUACGAGGAAUCCAGAGCUUCGUGCAGAUCAUCUUGGGUUGCACAAAGCUAUAUGUGUUCUUAUGGGUUGGAACUACUCCAUAGAUCCUGUAAACAGAAAGGCUUACCAAACAUUAUCUACUGCUGAUGCUGAAGCCAAUCAAGGAGAUCAUAUUUUAUGGCCACCAACAAUCAUAGUUGAGAACACAUACAAGUCAAAUAACGACGGGCAAAAGGAUGCCAUGACUAAUAAAGAGAUGGAUGGCAAGCUCAGAGAAAUGGGGUUCGCCGGCGUGAGUGUGAAGCCACUAGUGGGCAAGGAUGGAGCCAUGCUAGUGACAUUCGCAAGCAACCUGGCUGGUCUGAAGGAAGCUGCGCGGCUUGCUGAGCUCUUGGAGACUGAAGGCCAUGGACGAGCGCAGUGGGUCCACGCCCGGGGCCUCACCCCGUCUUUUGUUGGGGGCAGUAACCCCAUGUUUGUCAAGGUGGAUGAGACGGGCCAACCGACAUGGGUCCUCUAUGGCUAUUUGGCCACGGCAUGGGACUUGGACACGCUUGACGCGGAGUCGAGGCAAAAUGUUGUAAUAAAGAGCAGGAAAGAGUUCGAUUUAUCUGAGUAG